Molecule: long non-coding RNA, 564 nt
Organism: Daucus carota subsp. sativus
Lineage: Eukaryota; Viridiplantae; Streptophyta; Magnoliopsida; Apiales; Apiaceae
Exons: 2
Source: RefSeq, a predicted model, not a curated record
CUUAUCUUUUGAUAUGCUCUAUAGUCUCUAUGUGGCACAACCGUGGGAUAUGUUUCGGAAAAUUUUAAUUUGCUAUGACGUUUGCAGCUCAAAUUCAAGCAUGAAUGCUGCAAGGAUACUGAGGUGUAUACAAUCCAAGCAAUGCCUAUGACUUGCCUUUGUGACAUAGAUCACCAACCAAUACUCGACUCGAAGAUGUCAGACCUAAUUGCUGAAUAUUUAAAUUAACUGGCCUGUUCAUCAAAACCCUAUCGAUAGAAUUCAUGAAAUCUUCUUUGAAUUGUUUAGGAAACUCAUCGUCGAUAGGGAGACUCGAGAGCGACAUGGAGAGGGGCCUCCAUCUCUUGGACAAGACGCUGGUGCGCACAGCUGAUUGAAAUGGAAGCAAGGAUGGGAUCAACAAAAGGAGCGAGUCGGGGAGCUGGCUGAUUCUAUCGGCUUUCGAUCGUUUAGACCCCCUUGAAGCUUUCGAUCGUUUGGAACCCAUUACUGUAUGAAUGAGAUGUUCAUUACUAUCUAGAAAGUUCAUGGACGAUUAUUGAUGAUACAUAUUCAUAUUUAUCC